RNAcentral lists this ribosomal RNA (253 nucleotides) under uncultured bacterium. Its description in RNAcentral is "partial 16S ribosomal RNA". It matches the Rfam family "Bacterial small subunit ribosomal RNA", at positions 524 to 776 of the family's 1533-position model. The record is from RNAcentral.
UACGAAGGGGGCUAGCGUUGCUCGGAAUCACUGGGCGUAAAGCGCACGUAGGCGGCUUUUUAAGUCAGGGGUGAAAUCCUGGAGCUCAACUCCAGAACUGCCUUUGAUACUGGGAAGCUUGAGUCCGGGAGAGGUGAGAGGAACUCCGAGUGUAGAGGUGAAAUUCGUAGAUAUUCGCAAGAACACCAGUGGCGAAGGCGGCUCACUGGCCCGGUACUGACGCUGAGGUGCGAAAGCGUGGGGAGCAAACAGG